Molecule: long non-coding RNA, 606 nt
Filed under: Rattus norvegicus (Norway rat)
Lineage: Eukaryota; Metazoa; Chordata; Mammalia; Rodentia; Muridae
Description: long non-coding RNA NONRATT008302
Source: RNAcentral
UAACGCCUCGGGGAAGGGGAAGCCGGCGAAGGCUGGAAUCGCUGCCUCUGGCUUUCAGUUUUUCGGCUCGCAGGGUUGGGUCACUGACGCUUCGCCGUUUGUCUGUGGCUCGCGUACAGCCUUCCCAAUUGCUUCCCCGCCCUUGGAUCCAGCCCUGUGUGCAUUAACGUCUAUUAUCCCACUCCGCCGCGAGUCCCCUCCGCGUCCCCUGGCACGGAGGCCGUAACUAUGGAGAAUAUGGCGGAGGAGGAGCUGCUACCCCAGGAGAAGGAGGAGGCCCAGAGAGACACAUCUCAAUUCAAAGGCGGCUUGCUGAUCUGGAGAAGUUAGCUUUUGGGACUGAAGGAGAUGUUGACUCUGCCAGUUCAUUGAACUCAGAUAAUCUGGAAAACAUUCAAACUUGCCCGCUGUGUCCUAAGGAAAAGUUCAGAGCUUACAGCAGUCAUAAGCUUCGUCGACACCUUCAGAAUUUACAUUGGAAAAUCUCAGUUGAAUUUGAAGGCUCCAGGAUGUGCAUCUGUCACUUAGCGUGCCGGCCAGUGAAGCCAACAAUUGUUGGAGAGCAGAUAUCCAGUAAAUUGGGAGCCCAUUAUCACUGCAUCAUUU